AUUGGCAGAACUUUUUUUUUCUUUAUUUUUGUAGUUUUCUUUCAUGGCUGUCUGCUCUGGUGUUGUGGGUUGGAAAAACCUGGCGGAUGUAUAAAAACUCGGGCCCAGUGGGGUCGUACCUGGAACCAUGGGCUUUAUAUCUAGCAUCAUCUGGGGGUUUGGGGUGAUCUGGGCCGUCCGUUCUGUGGUCCUCCUGAUCUAGGAGUUCGAGGACCGUACGAGAUGAACCCGUCGGCCCGGCUGCGGCGUGGACCUCCGGUCCGGGCUAAGCCGGUAGGCCGUAUGCCUGGGGAGUGGUGGGCCCACGGAGAGCAGAGGAGAAACGCGGGAAUGAGCGCGGGGCCCG
RNAcentral lists this long non-coding RNA (346 nucleotides) under Phoenix dactylifera (date palm). Its description in RNAcentral is "long non-coding RNA (PDAC_LNC005367)". The record is from RNAcentral. Lineage: Eukaryota; Viridiplantae; Streptophyta; Magnoliopsida; Arecales; Arecaceae.